GUUACAAAUAUCAAACAUGGUUUUAUGGUGUAUGGAAGGAUGGCACCAGUGGACUCCAGAUACUAUAUCCACUUAAAUGAGAUGAAGCAGUUAUGGUGUUAACAGUGUCCCUUUUAUUGCCCUGUUACUCACCAAAAGCAGAGAGGAAGUAUAUUUAAACACACACUUGUCCUCAACUAUAACUGUCCUCCUGACACAGAGAUGGUCUGUCGGGUGAUCAGUAGAUUUUACAAGCCUGAAAGCUGGUGUGCAAUCAUCUAAUGUCAAUAUUUUCAUGCAGUGAACAUGACUUCUUGCCCUGAGGUGAAGGAGAGAGCCCUAGGGAUAUGUGGCACUCCCUGUGAGAAUGACACACAAUGUGAAGGUGAAAAGAAGUGCUGCCCGGAUGCCUGCCAUCAAUAUUCCUGUAGGACAAUAGGUAAGACUUAGUUUGCAUUAUAG
Non-coding RNA from Pelobates cultripes (western spadefoot toad), 441 nucleotides. The record is from the annotation of a GenBank genome assembly. NCBI's taxonomy places the organism in Eukaryota, Metazoa, Chordata, Amphibia, Anura, Pelobatidae.